RNAcentral lists this ribosomal RNA (122 nucleotides) under Lottia gigantea (owl limpet). Lineage: Eukaryota; Metazoa; Mollusca; Gastropoda; Lottiidae. The record is from RNAcentral.
GUCUACGGCCAUACCACGUUGAAAACACCAGUUCUCGUCCGAUCACUGAAGUUAAGCAACGUCGGGCUCGGUUAGUACUUGGAUGGGUGACCGCCUGGGAACACCGAGUGCUGUAGACGCCC